GUACACUCCUACGGGAGGCAGCAGUGGGGAAUAUUGCACAAUGGGCGCAAGCCUGAUGCAGCCAUGCCGCGUGUAUGAAGAAGGCCUUCGGGUUGUAAAGUACUUUCAGCGGGGAGGAAGGCAAUACGGUUAAUAACCGUGUUGAUUGACGUUACCCGCAGAAGAAGCACCGGCUAACUCCGUGCCAGCAGCCGCGGUAAUACGGAGGGUGCAAGCGUUAAUCGGAAUUACUGGGCGUAAAGCGCACGCAGGCGGUCUGUCAAGUCGGAUGUGAAAUCCCCGGGCUCAACCUGGGAACUGCAUUCGAAACUGGCAGGCUUGAGUCUUGUAGAGGGGGGUAGAAUUCCAGGUGUAGCGGCGAAAUGCGUAGAGAUCUGGAGGAAUACCGGUGGCGAAGGCGGCCCCCUGGACAAAGACUGACGCUCAGGUGCGAAAGCGUGGGGAGCAAACAGGAUUAGAUACCCCAGUAGUCCCAUG
This 477-nucleotide ribosomal RNA is filed under the name uncultured organism. Its description in RNAcentral is "partial 16S ribosomal RNA". It matches the Rfam family "Bacterial small subunit ribosomal RNA", at positions 331 to 799 of the family's 1533-position model. The record is from RNAcentral.